AAGCUCGUAGUUGAAUUUCCGGGUUAGUAGGCUGGUCGUGCCACAGGUAUGUACUGGUCUCACUGAUUCCUCCUUCCUGAUGAACCGUAAUGCCAUUAAUUUGGUGUUGCGGGGAGACUGGACUGUUACUUUGAAAAAAUUAGAGUGUUUAAAGCAGGCUAACGCUCGAAUACAUUAGCAUGGAAUAAUGAAAUAGGACGUUCGGUCUUAUUUUGUUGGUUUCUAAGAUUGACGUAAUGAUUAAUAGGGAUAGUUGGGGGCAUUAGUAUUCAAUUGUCAGAGGUGAAAUUCUUGGAUUUAUUGAAGACUAACUACUGCGAAAGCAUUUGCCAAGGAUGUUUUCAUUAAUCAAGAACGAAAGUUAGGGGAUCGAAGACGAUCAGAUACCGUCGUAGUCUUAACCAUAAACUAUGCCGACUAGGGAUCGGACGAAGUUAAUUUUAUAAUGACGCGUUCGGCACCUUACGGGAAACCAAAGUGUUUGGGUUCCGGGGGGAGUAUGGUCGCAAGGCUGAAACUUAAAGGAAUUGACGGAGGGCACCACCAGGGGUGGAGCCUGCGGCUUAAUUUGACUCAACACGGGGAAA
RNAcentral lists this ribosomal RNA (587 nucleotides) under uncultured Glomus. RNAcentral's name for it is "SSU rRNA". It matches the Rfam family "Eukaryotic small subunit ribosomal RNA", at positions 624 to 1213 of the family's 1831-position model. The record is from RNAcentral. Lineage: Eukaryota; Fungi; Glomeromycota; Glomeromycetes; Glomerales; Glomeraceae.